Molecule: non-coding RNA, 385 nt
Organism: Misgurnus anguillicaudatus (oriental weatherfish)
Lineage: Eukaryota; Metazoa; Chordata; Actinopteri; Cypriniformes; Cobitidae
Source: RefSeq, a predicted model, not a curated record
UAAAAGCUGUAACUUUAGCUAUUUCAGAAAUGCUCAUUCUCUUACAGCCAAAUCACAUCCCACAAAUGCAGGUGGAGAGAAGAUGAGCUUGCUCAUUGCUCUGAUGUACUGAGAGCCAUCCAGGCAUGAAAAUUUCAGGCUGCUCAUGGGUAGCAGGGCCCUGUUAGUGUAAUAUCUGAGCAAUGGAGUCUGUGCUUGGAUUGCCUCCAGAUACACCUAAAAGUGGAGACAGUGUAGGAAAGAACCUGUUAGUUGUUCUUAUAGAAUGACUAAGACAAUGAGUAUAUUGCACUGACAGUAUAUGUAUAUUUAUCUAUAUGUAUAUGUAGAGAGACGAAAACAACACUUUCACAUUAUGAUUGUGCAUUAGGUUGCAUAAUAUUAA